AGCGAACGCUGGCGGCAGGCCUAACACAUGCAAGUCGAACGAACCCUUCGGAGUUAGUGGCGGACGGGUGAGUAACACGUGGGAACGUGCCUUUUGGUUCGGAAUAACUCAGGGAAACUUGUGCUAAUACCGAAUGUGCCCUUCGGGGGAAAGAUUUAUCGCCAUUAGAGCGGCCCGCGUCUGAUUAGCUAGUUGGUGAGGUGACGGCUCACCAAGGCGACGAUCAGUAGCUGGUCUGAGAGGAUGACGAGCCACACUGGGACUGAGACACGGCCCAGACUCCUACGGGAGGCAGCAGUGGGGAAUCUUGCGCAAUGGGCGAAAGCCUGACGCAGCCAUGCCGCGUGAAUGAUGAAGGUCUUAGGAUUGUAAAAUUCUUUCACUGGGGACGAUAAUGACGGUACCCGGAGAAGAAGCCCCGGCUAACUUCGUG
Molecule: ribosomal RNA, 433 nt
Filed under: uncultured bacterium
Lineage: Bacteria
Description: partial 16S ribosomal RNA
Rfam family: Bacterial small subunit ribosomal RNA
Source: RNAcentral